RNAcentral lists this ribosomal RNA (379 nucleotides) under uncultured Lachnospiraceae bacterium. Its description in RNAcentral is "bacterial SSU rRNA". It matches the Rfam family "Bacterial small subunit ribosomal RNA", at positions 118 to 507 of the family's 1533-position model. The record is from RNAcentral. Lineage: Bacteria; Bacillati; Bacillota; Clostridia; Lachnospirales; Lachnospiraceae.
UGGGUAACCUGCCUUACACAGGGGUAUAACACUUAGAAAUAGGUGCUAAAACCGCAUAAGCGCGACUAGGCUUACGCAAUGAAGCGGUGUGAAAAACUCCGGUGGUGUAAGGAUGGACCCGCGUCUGUAUUAGCUUGUUGGCGGGUAACGGCCCACCAAGGCGACGAUCAGUAGCCGGACCUGAGAGGGUCGGACGGCCACAUUGGGACUGAGACACGGCCCAGACUCCUACGGGAGGCAGCAGUGGGGAAUAUUGCACAAUGGGGGAAACCCUGAUGCAGCGACGCCGCGUGAGUGAAGAAGUAAUUCGUUACGUAAAGCUCUAUCAGCAGGGAAGAAAAUGACGGUACCUGAGUAAGAAGCCCCGGCUAACUACGUG